This 904-nucleotide long non-coding RNA is filed under the name Homo sapiens (human). RNAcentral's name for it is "HSALNT0092860". Lineage: Eukaryota; Metazoa; Chordata; Mammalia; Primates; Hominidae. The record is from RNAcentral.
GCAAAUGACUAAAAUAACUUUCUUCUUAAUUACUGAUCAUGCAAAGGAAGGCAAGUAGUCAAACUGAAAUCUUUAUUCUCCAACUGGAAAUAGAUACCAAAGAAAGCUUACAAAAUUGUAAGUCUUUUGAAAAAUUUUAUCUUUCUAAAUGGUGAAACUGACUAUAGUUUUAAAAAUUAAACUAUGUUAGUACACAUGAUAUCCUGGGCACAAUAUCUGUUUUAAUGGCUUUCCUCAUAUUUUUUCAUGCUCUCUUUUCUAGGCAUCCUGAGUUUCCACCUGGCUAAUGAAUUUAGGGAGAAUUUUCACCACUUCUGAAUAAGUGGCCCAUGUGUUUCAAUUAUGGACAAAAUCAACAAAACACACCAGUAAGUGAAGCAAAGGAAAAGCCAUGGGCCUGAAAACCUGGGCUUCUCUUCCUGCCAUAACACAAGCUAUUCAGCAGCCAAGAACAAGGGUAUUUUCUGGAUUUUCUACAGUGAACAUGUACGAUCUUUAUACUAAAAGUUUAGUUUUUUGUAAAAAAUUAUGUAAACAACAGUACUUAUUUGGAAGUUUAAUGCAUGAAAGCAUCUCUGAAUUUGGCCUAAAUGCAAUGACCAUACUAAGUCUUUCUGACCAGACCAGCAAACCAGCAGAAUAAGCAUUUCAACCAUUCUUCAUGCUGAAUGUGAUUACUGUUCCAAGUGAUGGGUUUUAAGGGGCUUUUAAAUUCAAUUUGUGAGUACAGUUAGGCCUCCAUAAUAAUCAACCUAAUUCAACCAUUAUGUAAAUCACUGCCUCACAGAGAGGUACCCUGGUGGAGAAAGAGAAAAGACCACAAGCAAGAAUACUUAGGAAACAGAAUGCUUUGACUAAAUGAAUGUGAUACUUAACAGCAAUAAAAAAAAACCUUUAAUUCAAG